RNAcentral lists this ribosomal RNA (254 nucleotides) under uncultured bacterium. Its description in RNAcentral is "partial 16S ribosomal RNA". It matches the Rfam family "Bacterial small subunit ribosomal RNA", at positions 524 to 776 of the family's 1533-position model. The record is from RNAcentral.
UACGUAGGGUCCAAGCGUUAUCCGGAUUUACUGGGCGUAAAGUGUAGCGUAGGUGGGAAAACAAGUAUGUCGUCAAAGCCCGAGGCUCAACUUCGGAGAGGCGGUGUAAACUGUUUUCCUUGAGGCUGUUCGGGAGUGCUGGAAUUCACGGUGGAGGGGUGAAAUCCGUUGAUAUCGUGAAGAACACCGAGGGCGAAGGCAAGCACUUAGGACACGCCUGACACUGAGGCACGAAAGCUAGGGGAGCGAAUCGG